UGCUACAAUGGACAAUACAAAGGGCAGCGAAACCGCGAGGUCAAGCAAAUCCCAUAAAGUUGUUCUCAGUUCGGAUUGUAGUCUGCAACUCGACUACAUGAAGCUGGAAUCGCUAGUAAUCGUAGAUCAGCAUGCUACGGUGAAUACGUUCCCGGGUCUUGUACACACCGCCCGUCACACCACGAGAGUUUGUAACACCCGAAGCCGGUGGAGUAACCUUUUAGGAGCUAGCCGUCGAAGGUGGGACAAAUGAUUGGGGUGAAGUCGUAACAAGGUAGCCGUAUCGGAAGGUGCGGCUGGAUCACCUCCUUUCUAAGGA
RNAcentral lists this ribosomal RNA (319 nucleotides) under Agrobacterium tumefaciens. RNAcentral's name for it is "partial 16S ribosomal RNA". It matches the Rfam family "Bacterial small subunit ribosomal RNA", at positions 1223 to 1533 of the family's 1533-position model. The record is from RNAcentral. Lineage: Bacteria; Pseudomonadati; Pseudomonadota; Alphaproteobacteria; Hyphomicrobiales; Rhizobiaceae. RNAcentral also lists the same sequence under 1 other name.